Cryptotermes secundus is the source of this 1132-nucleotide long non-coding RNA. RefSeq lists it as uncharacterized. The record is from RefSeq and is a predicted model, not a curated record. The transcript is spliced from 3 exons. Lineage: Eukaryota; Metazoa; Arthropoda; Insecta; Blattodea; Kalotermitidae.
UGUGCAGCAGCUAUUGCAAUGGAGAAUGGCAAAGGUGGAGUUGGGGGAACUGUUCAGUUUUCGUGUUCUGUGUCGUGGUAGAUUUAUUUGCUGCAAGUUCUACGCACACAGGACGACAUACCACAGAAGAGAAGCGAACGUAACAUCCAUCCACCGACUGGAACUAACACGAACAGUCCAAGAUCUACACGUGCUUAAAUCAGCUUUGUUAGCAUAAGCGCCUAAAGAAGUUUUAUUUGAAUUAUAUCACCGUUCGACACAUGGUGACGCCGAACUUUGUGCGUGUGUAACAACUGUGAUGUGAUCUUGUGGCAGCCAUUGUGAUUCGCAUGUGGACUUGAAGUUAUUUGCUGUGGACGAUUUACAUCCCUCACCAUCGGUUCGACCCGAGUCUAUAUAAGAAGAAGCAAGCAGUAAUUGAGAGUUGAGCUGAGGGUACAGCUGUGGACUGUUAACCACCAGACAACGGAAGCUGAAGAACCUCCAUUGCUGAGAUUUGUUACCUGAAAGUCUAGUGAAGACACUGCGGAGGAAUAGCCGUUGUACCAAGUAAAGACUAGUGGAAAUAUACUGAUAAAACUUAGUGUUGAGUGAUUUAUAGUGUGGAACUCGGUAGUAUUGUAAUAAUUAUUCGUAGUUACGACUUGCAAGUGGUCAAUAAAUCUAUUCAGCAAUCCAAACCCCGUCUAUAGUCACUAAUACACGUGACAAUAUUAUCACACCGAUUAGAUGAUAAGGGUAAAAUUAAUGUUAAAUCGACAAGCCUCGCUGAAAACCUGAAUCUGCUGGAAGGUCGAGAGUUUAAACCCCAACACUGUUUCAUAUAUAUAUGUAAAAUGUUUAAUAAUGUGGUUUCCCUCUCAGGAAGUGGACAUGAUACACCAGAGAGAAGCAGAAGACUUAAAACUGAGUUUAUGUAACUUCAUCGCUGUUUAAGGUCAAGUUUUGAGAUUAGAAACUUUGAAAUUGUAAAAUAGUUGUGCCCUAUUUGUUGGCUUAUCUGGAAUAUAACACUGUGUAAUCCUUUGAAAGUCAACACGGCGCUAUACCCCAGAAAAUAGAAUUCUUCAUAACCACCGCUGUGACGCCAUUAAACCAUUCGUUUCGUUAUUGUUUUGUUGAAGCCGUCAAA